RNAcentral lists this long non-coding RNA (1287 nucleotides) under Anas platyrhynchos platyrhynchos (common mallard). Its description in RNAcentral is "lncRNA (ENSAPLG00000016492.1)". The record is from RNAcentral. Lineage: Eukaryota; Metazoa; Chordata; Aves; Anseriformes; Anatidae.
AUGUUACUAACAGAACAGAAAUCCCAAGUGACGAGUGGGAAUCUAGAGGUGAAUGGCUUUAAUCAGGGCUCACUUGUAUCAGAAAAUUGUAUAUACCAUUACAUGGAUUUAUUAACGCUGGGCUAUGAUUGUGGUGUUAACGACAUAUUUAAGAGUCAUAUUAAUGAUGUAAAUAAAACAGAUAGAAAUGCAAACUUUUGCCCAUUUUUCUUAAAGGAGAGACAUUCAGAUGCCAUCAGCCAUUGUUUUCUUGUUAUAAGUCACCAUUUGAAGUGCUUUGGACAAAACAGGUGGAGAUCUUCUCAAAGUAACUGGGACACCAUCCAUGAAAACUCCACUGGAAUGAAUGGCAAUUUCAUGGUAAUUCGUGCAAACAUUACUCUCAUCUUCCGGCAAGGUUAUCCAAGGAUAAAAGUUAUAAAAAGCAGGUAUUCAAAUUAACUUCUUAGUUUAAUUGACUGAAGGUCUGUACAGUGUCUCCCUUGCUUAUCUCUUUGCAUUCACAUAUUUAAAAAGUAUAAAAAUGCAGUCUUUUUUUUUGCAUUUAAUAGAUAAAUUAAGAAAUUAAGUAUUACAUUACACAGUAAAAAGUUAAAGGAUUACUGACACGUGAGACUGAAUGAUUCAUUAUGCAAUAAUAUACAUUAAGCAAUGAGCAGAUGUUAAUGAAUUCUAUUAAAAUGAAAGAGCAUUUAUAUUAUUACAUUGUGAUUCUGAAAUCCAUAGGUAUUUUGGAAAGAGAUGGAUAGCUAUUAGAUCGCUCAGUCUGCCUGGUGCCACUAAAACUUGUUUGUAUAACUAAUUUGUUUUACGAAUCUGCACGGUAGGAUGUGAACAUUGUCAAAAUCACUUUGCAGAUUGCACACCGCCAUAGAUUUGCAAUGAAACUGGCACUGAAAGACUGUUUAUGAUAGAAGAUAUAGGGAAAAAACCUAAUAAUUCAAACUCUUGGUAUGUCCCUUGGUACGUUUCUCAAACACAAAUUUCAAGGAAAGUUUAAAAAAAAAAAAAAAGUUCAGGUUUGUCUGCAUGUUGGUCUUUGGUGUAUCCCACAGUAGCUGUAAUCAACAGUUUAUACCUCCUCUUUUGCUUCGGAAAAUAUUUCAAAAGUCUCUUGAUUUUACAAGGUGAUAGAGUGUGGGGGUCUAGAUAUCUAUAUAGAGAAAGAUAAAAAAAAAAACACUCUACUAUUGCAAACAUGGCUCUUACCAAGUUUUACAAUAAUCUUACAAAUGAGUAACAAUUGUUUAUGAAAAAUUCAUGGCCAACAAAGACUGCUGCUAGGAU